This 404-nucleotide ribosomal RNA is filed under the name Actinomycetes bacterium. RNAcentral's name for it is "Actinobacteria bacterium partial 16S ribosomal RNA". It matches the Rfam family "Bacterial small subunit ribosomal RNA", at positions 355 to 776 of the family's 1533-position model. The record is from RNAcentral. Lineage: Bacteria; Bacillati; Actinomycetota; Actinomycetes.
UGGGGAAUAUUGGACAAUGGGCGCAAGCCUGAUCCAGCCAUGCCGCGUGAGUGAUGAAGGCCCUAGGGUUGUAAAGCUCUUUCACCGGUGAAGAUAAUGACGGUAACCGGAGAAGAAGCCCCGGCUAACUUCGUGCCAGCAGCCGCGGUAAUACGAAGGGGGCUAGCGUUGUUCGGAUUUACUGGGCGUAAAGCGCACGUAGGCGGACUUUUAAGUCAGGGGUGAAAUCCCGGGGCUCAACCCCGGAACUGCCUUUGAUACUGGAAGUCUUGAGUAUGGUAGAGGUGAGUGGAAUUCCGCGUGUAGAGGUGAAAUUCGUAGAUAUUCGGAGGAACACCAGUGGCGAAGGCGGCUCACUGGACCAUUACUGACGCUGAGGUGCGAAAGCGUGGGGAGCAAACAGG